CCUGGAUUUUAAAACACAAAUAAAUAGUAACAUUGAAAUGAGAUAAGAUUUACCACAAAUUUAAUCUGACAUAUUUAAUGAUAUAUAUUAUGAUAAUUAUGGCACCUGAAGACCAGAUAUAAAGAGGAAGCCACUGACAUAUUUGACAAUAUUAGCUAUUCCUGGGAUUCCCUGAGACAAGAGAUGGGAAAGAGAAAAGAUAAAGUGCAUGAGCUUCUCUCCUGCCAGAAGGGCACAGGGUACUGCUCCAGUCCUCCUUCCUUAAGAAGGAUUUAAGGUGUGCCACAGUACCUGGAAGGAGAAACCAGCUUGAUGCCCCAGAGAGACUGAUUUCAGUGUUCAUUUAGAAGUCAAAGUUAUCAGGUCAGAUCUCUCUCUGAUAACAGCAGAGAGAAGCCCUGCCUGGAGAGGGCAGUGGGGAGGGUGGGCCUUUGUUCAAACAUCAAAAUACUGUGGGAACAAACUGCUGGUUAGUGAGAGAUGGUGGGAGGACAGCUAGAUAUAUCAGCAAGCUGGAAAAAUAGCCACAUUUUCAGUACAACCUAAUAAUAAUCUUUACUCCUAGUAUUUUCUUAAAGUGAAGCUUUUUACUACAUAACACAUUCCAAGUAUACUAGGAAUUGAAAUGAGAAAGUCCAGAUUCCAGGGUACCUCUUAAAUACGGGCAGAGGAUUUUAGACUUCAUAUACCAGGGCAGAGGAUUUUAGACUUCAUAUACCAGUUCCUUGAUCAUCAGUAAACUCGUCUCUAAAAUUUGACCUAAAGGUCAUUGGAAGAGUAGUUCUUAGGUUAAAAAAAAAAAAAAAAAAAAAAAGCCCAGAAAUAGGUCCCUGUGCUGCCAAAUGAGUUCUGAACUGGUGAAUUCCUAAAAAACAGGACACAGCUUCCUGCAAAUUAUUAGGAAGUAGUUUUUGCCUCCAAUUUACUGGCUUUGUAUUACAACGUCUAUCGAGGACGCUGGGUUUCCCCCACCCUUGCACUCCCUUCCUCCUUGGAUGGUGGCAGAUUUGGGACAAGGACCAGGAGAAAACUGAGCUGUAGUGCUAAUGAGUAGAUAUGUGAAGAGUGAAGAGGAUAUAUAUUUUUUUAAAUCUUGUCUCUGCAUAAUGUACCUACCUGAAUUCCUCUUUUGGAUUCUUUAUCCUUAUUUAAACCUGUCAUUUGAGCAUCUGAAGUAAAAAUAUGGGCCCAGGAUCUACUUCUUAAUGAGAAAAGCACCUCUUCUCCCCAACAUCCUCACACGGAGAAAUCAAUUAAAACAGCCUCCAGUCAAAGGUCAAGAAGAAAUCAGAGGGGAGCUGGGGAAAUUAGCAGUUAGCAGGCAGGUGAGCCUGGCCAUGCUGGGUCUUUCCAAGAUCUCUAAGUUGUCUCUCAUGAACGAUCUUUCCCUGGCUGGGUUUGACUUUUGUGGGUUUUGGUUUAAUUUUGCUUGAUUUUCUUACUGUCGAUAAGUAAGGCAUUGCGGUAGUGUAGGAUUGGUAAGGCAUUAAAGUUUAGGAAGUGAGCCAGGAAGGAAAAUGGCCAAGGAAACAGCCUGGCUGCCUUCAGACUAGCCUUCAAAGUCUUGGGGACAAAUGGGGUCGUUGCAAAAGCUCAUGGUCCAGCUGAACUCACCAGGGUCAGAAGAGCCACGUGCAAAUUGGAGUCAAAGUGCUGUCAUAACGAACAACACGUACUCCUUGGGGGUGGUUUUCACCUACACACAGAUCUCCCUGGGGAACCGCACUCAUUUGGAUUUUUUUUUUAAUUUGCACUGGGUUUUUUGAGUUUGUGUUGAGUUUGCAUUUGAGUUUGCAGAUUCUGGUCAUGGCCACUUUCUUUGUGACCAACACUUAUAGCAUCUCCCACUCCAGUCGUGCAGCUCUGAGGUGGCUGCGGGAGUGCUGCCCAUGAGUGGGCAGGAUAAGCUGCGUGCACGCCCUGCAGGUCCCAGCUGGGCAGAUCUCUGCCUCCUACCCUGUCCUCUGCAACUCAGAGGCACCUCGGGGACAACAGGGCAACCACAUGAGGACAUCUUCAGAUGCAGAAAAAGGUAGUCGUCACCAUGCCAUCACCCUGAAUCCUUAGUUCCACUCCUGACUGGUUCAAACAAACCUUUUUCUAGAGCUCUGACCAUUGCGGAAAAAAAGUUAAGACACGAAUCACCUAGAUUUUGAAACUCCAGACUUUUCUGGUUUGGUUUUGCAUCAUCACAAGCAGCAUCAGAAAAAAGGAAGGGAAAAGAUUUUCAAGGACUCUACACAGAAAACUAUAAAAUAUUAUUUAGUGGAAUUAAAGACAAAACAGGAGGAGGGAUAGAUCAAGUUUGUGAAUUACAAGAUUCCAUGUUUCUAAAAUGUCAGUUCUCCUCUAAUUAAUGCCAUAGAUUCAGUGUAAACCCAGUCAACAACCAAGCAGACAUUUUGUAUGUGUGAUCAUUGACGGAGUAGUUCUAGGACUACAGAAGCAUUGCAAAGGGCCAAGAAUAGCCAAAACAAUCUUGAAAAUUAAAUUUCCAAGACAUCAAAACUUACGAUAAAGCUGCAGUGAUUAUGACACCGUGGUAUUGCAUCAAGGAUUGGCAGAGACCAAUGGAACAGAAUAGAGUGAAAAAUCAGACCCACGCACGUGGUCACUUGACCUAUGACAAAGGUGGCACUGCAGAACAGUGGGAAUAGGACACUCUUCUCAAUAAAUGGUACCGAGUCAACUGGAUUACUCAGAUGCCCUUUCAGGCCUGAGGUACUCAUUGUUCCGGUGGCUGGGAGAGUUAGAUGGCUGCUCACUGCUCACAGCUGCCUCUCCUCCUGGGAAUUUCCCGUAGCCAAAGAAAGCAGCUUCUUCCAAGAUGAUUCUCUCUCCCUGAGGAUACUCCUACAUCAAUGACUGGUCAACGCAAGUAUGGAAAGUCCUGACCCUUCCUGGAUUGGCCUCUCAAGGACCAUUCUAGUUUAAGAGUUCCCCUUGGGAACAGCUUAGGUCAUGAAAGCAACUGCAUCCUCAAACUUAAGUCUCCCUCCACCCCAUCUAACUCCGUAUACUCCCUCUCAGAAGUUUACCCCAGUAAAACUUCUGCAUACAAAUCUUAGAGUCCCAGAUUCUGCUUCCUAGGGAACUCAACCUGGAACACACUGGAAAAAAUUAACCUUGACACUACCUCAUACCUUACAUACAAUUAAUUCCAAGUGAUAGUUUAUCUAAUGUGAGUCAUAAAAGAUAAAAUUUCUAUGAGAAUCUAACAUAACCAAGCCCCCACUACUUUGGGGUUGAAGAAAGAUUUCUUAAACAAGACACAAAAGCACUUACCAUACAAAAAAAGGCUGAUAAAUUGGACCACAUUCAAAUUAAGAUGUUCUGUUUAUCAAAGGAUACAAUUUAGAGUAAAAAGUCAAGCCACAAAUUCAGGGAAGAUAAACACAAUGCCUAUAAGCCACAAAGGAUUUGUAUAAAAAAAUACAUAAAGAAAGACCAAAAAAUCAAUAAGAAGAUAGAAAAAUCCAAUAGAAAAAAAGAAAAGGGUAAGAGGUUUGAAUGGGUACUUCCCACUCCCCAAAAGAUAUCAAAAUAGCCAGCAAACAAAUGAAAGGGGAUUCAAAGUUAUUAAUACUCAGAGAAUGCAAAUUAAAACCACAAUUAAAUAUUCACCUCAAACCCACUGGAAUGGCAAGAUUAACACUACCAGGUGUUGGUGGAAAAUGUAGAGCACCUAGAAUACUCAGACACAGCCUGAAGAAACUUGUGUUACAUAGUCUAAUAAAAUUGCAUACUUGCAUGUAUGUCUCUUUUAGGAAUAGCCCCAACAGAAAUGAGAGGACGUAUAUAUCAAAACACUUACGUGUAAAUGCUCAUAGAAAUGUUAUUCAUAAUAACAAAAAAUUAGAAUAGUCCAAAUGCCUGUUAAUUUUUAUAGACAAUAAAAAAAAAACAAGGCAAGGAAAAUAGAGUCAAAACAGAGGAAGCGUAAUCAGGAAGUGCCUGAAAAGCAAUGAAAUUAUGUUGAGGUAGAGGAUCUAAAAAUUAGGACAGUCUUGAAUAAGAGAAUGGCAAAGGGGGAUAAAAAUUUAACAUUUUAGAUAUGGUGUCUCAAACAAUUAAAGAAUUAUUAACACUUGAUUUAUUUAUAGAAAUGUAUAUAAUUCAUUCCUUCCUCUAACUAGAGUAUUAUACACACCCAGCUUAUAAAUUGAAAUGAGCCAAACACCAAGAAAGUAAUGCAUCCCGUUACUGGGAUCUCUGCUCCUCUGAGUUGUUCAGCACAGUAGCAGCGCACCAGAAACUUGCACCACGACCACCAGCCUGCUAGCAGGCAGCUGUCCUGAAUGUAGGCCCAUGAUAGUUAAUUUUAUAUAUCAACUUGCCUGGGCUAUAGUGUCCAGAUAUUUGGUCAAACGUUGUUCUUGAUGUUUCUUGUGAGGGUGUUUUUUGAAUAAGAUGAAUAUUUAAUUGAUGGACUUAGAGCAAAGCAGAUUGCCCUCCAUCAUAUAGGUGGGCCUCAUCUAAUCAGUCAAAGGGCUCAAUAGAACAAACACCCCACCCCCCACCCUACAUCUCCCUACCCCAGCAAGACGGAAUUCCGCCAGUAGACUGUCUUUGGUCUUGAACUGCAACUCUUUCUGGAGUCUCCAUUCUGCCAACCUAUUCCAUCAGAUUUUGGACUCACAAAGCCUCUUACAAUCAUGGGAACCAAUUCUUUAAAAUCAACAGAUCAAACUCUCAGUCUCUCUCUGUCUCCCUCUCUCUCUUCCUUUCUCUCCCUCCCUUUCUACCCCCCCCCCACACACAUGCAUGCACACACACCCCGUCUUGUUUUCCAGAAAAGCCUGACUAACACAAGGCCUAAUAUCUGGGAACAGCCAGUUCCCCCACCUGGAUGAGCCUGGCAUGAAUAUUACUAGCUUCCUGGUCCUAAGUGCAGCCUGCCUCUUCAGUCCUUCUAUGCUCUCUGAAACUCACAGUCUUAAACAUAUCCUUUCCUCCCAGUCUUUCAAACUCUACCAUUUCCUCUGUGUCUUUACAGGGACCAAGCUGAAGACUCUCUGCAUUUGGGGACAGAGUCAUGUGUCUGUGCCAGGCUCUGGCUCCCCACUGAGCUUCCGUGUCUGCUCUGACAUCCGCUUCUCCUCUGAGCUGGCUUGUCCUAUCCUGAGUGCCCCUGACACCUCAGUCUCUUCAGGAUCCUUUCCGUUGAGUUUCUAUUGAACAGGUUGAAACUGUCCAUAAAAGAAACUCUUCUAUUUAGUGUCAAAAGCAUCUCAGAUUUCAAUUUUUUUCUUUAAUGAAAGCACAUUCCCCAAGGUCAGUCAGUCUCGCUCAGCGCUGCUACUCAACAAGACAAAUAUUCUAAGGUUACAGUUUCUUCCCUCUGGCUCACUCCAAGAAAUCCUUUGUGGCCCUAAGGUUGAUUCACUACCUGAUCAUUCUUCAGCUUAGAAUCACUCAAGGGCUUAUAAAGACAUGGUCUCAGGCCCCCGUUCCCAGAGUUUUUGCCUCAGUAUUUCUGGGUGGGGCCUGGGAGCUUGCAUUUCUAACAUGUUCCCAGGUCAGGCUGAGGCUGUGGGUCCAGGGACCACACUUUGAGAACCACUGUUCUGGCUCUAGUUCUUUAAGUGCUGCCUCCUGUGCCUGUUCCUCCAUUGACUACCUGUAGUCCCUAAUUCUUUUAUAGAUAUCUCUCCUGGUCCACGAUGAAACUUGGAGGGGUAAAGGGAAUGGGAGCUCUCACAGGCUUCCACUGCAGGGAUAGGCCAAAAAAAGGGGGAAUUCAAUUCAACAUUGCAAACACUUUUUUUUUUUUUUUUUGAGUGGCUGCUGUGUUAUAAAGCACUGGCGGGGAGGGGUUAAAGAGAUAAAUGAGUUUCUGUUCUCAAGAAACUUAACAUGUAACAAAGCGAAAGCCCAGCAUAGCACUAACUAUAGGAGAAGGAAACAUGUAUUAUAUUACAGUACAUUCCAAAGCCCUUAGGACUACAGCCAACACUGUUGUUCUACCAAGCAUGUUCCCUAGGCCGACCCCACAGGUCAAGGGCAGACUUUUUCUCAGGGUCAUGAAAGUUCAGGGUCAACAAGUCCACAAUCCUGAGGGAGCAUCUCCUUAAAUUUCACAUCCUGAGGGUCUCGCUAUCCUCCUACCAGUGUUGGCAUGCCAGAGGUCACAAAAGAGUUCUACAGCUGCUGAUGGAUUCCAGCCUUUCUCUCCAUACAGGUAUUUUCUACCAGAGGAGUUGGCCAGGCGGGUCUGAACCACACAUACAGUUGGUGAUGGAGCCAAGAGCUCAUGAAGUGACAAUGCAAAGUGCAUAGAGCAAGAAAGAGCAGAGGGCCUAAGGCUGAUAUGUGAGGAAUGUCAGCCUUCCAGGGAUGGGAUUUAGAAAGCUAAGUGGGAAGAAAAGCGGGACAGUUGGAGAUCGGCUUUGAUGCCUGAUUGAAGUGUGUUAGAUGUGGACUUGCUUUCGGGAAGCUUCCAGGCUAGUAGGGAAAACAAGAUAACUAUUCUAGGACCAAGCACUAAAUCAGCGUUAAGGAGAGAGUGUAACAAAGAGGGAUAAGCUAAGGCUUGCCUUCACUUGGGCAAUAGGAUCCUCAGUUCUUCCAUUUAACAUUGUUGACAGUGAUGUUGAUUGCAGAGUGUUUUUAUGAAAAGUACAUAAAAUAAACUCCUAAGCACAGUCGCUGGCUCACAGUAAUCAUUCCCUAAGUUGUUUUUAUUGUAAUUUCUGUAGUGAUUCUGUUGCUGGUAGUGAUGAGUCAAGUUUCCAAGAAAGAGAGGGAGUUGUGGGCUGCGCUGGGGGUGAUGGGUGAUGGACAAUGGGGAGUUGGAAGAGUCGGAACAUUGAGCAGGAUUCACCUGCCUCCUGGGACAGGACACGUGAGCAAGGAGCAAGGUCGGUGAUUGUCAAAGUGUAGGAACGGGCCGGAGGAUCAGUUGGUUCAGAGUGUGUACUGCGUGGGGGUUGAGGCAUUAAUAGUAUGUUUGUUUUUUGUAACUAAGAAUGGUGGAAGAUGGCAACCAGACUUAUGUGGUGAUCGUUUCACAAUGUAUACAAAUAUUGAAUUAUUAUGUUGUGCAUCUAAAACUAAUAUGUUUUAUGUCAAUUAUAUCUAAUUUUUCAAAAAAGGAGUAGAUAGGGUCCGCACUAUGAAUCUUGGGAUAGGAAGCUUGGGCUUUGUCCUAGAGUUCAUCAAGAACCUCUGAAGAUUGAUGACAAAAAUUAACAUAUUAUUGAAAACAAUCUUUUAGUGAGAUUAAUUUAUAAAUUGCAAGUAGUAGUUGGGGAGAGUGAUGCCACGUAGUUCAGCAUGUCAAAUAUGAGAUGAUGCAAUGUUAGUAGUGGAAAUGGAAAGAGAAUAUUCAAGACAAAUGCAAAAGAAAACAUCAAUUUAAAAGAGAAGACAAAGGCAUUAGGGUUAGAUAUGAAGGUGUGGGCAGAAGCAGAGGCAACUCUUUCCUUCAUACCUGGGCUUCCUACCCGGUCAGGUCUCUUAGAGAACAUUUGUAUAACCUGCUUGUGCUUCCAUAAUGGAAUGCCCGACUGGGUGGCUUAAACAAGACAUUUAUUUUCUCAUAGUUCUGAAAUGCAAAAAUUCAAGAUCAAGGUGCCAUCACGGAUGGUUUCUGGUGAGACCUUUGUUCCUGGCUUACAGGUGGCUCCCUUCUCACUGAGUCCUCACCUGGCCUUUCUGCUAUGCCCUCACUGUGAGACAGGGGUCCCUUCUCUUCUUAUAAGGAAGCCAGCCCUAUUGGAUUAGGGUCCCAUGCUGUGAUCGCAUUUAACUGUAAUUCUCUCUCUAAAGGCUCUGUCUUCAAAUACAGUCACAUUGUGGUGGGGGGACUAGAGCUUCAUCAUAUGAACCUGGGCCGGGGGUGGUAGGGGAUCCUACUCAGCCCGUAGCAGUGGUGUCAUAUGCUACAUGAGACAAAGGAAGUAUGAAGUUUGAGCUAACGGAGAGGAAAAUAGUUUUGGCAUUAAAUGCAAUGGUUGGUUAAUCUAUAGAGCCAUCCAGAAUAACAUUCUGUAAUGACAAAAAUGUUCUGUGUCAGCAUUGUUUGUUACGGUAGCCGCUAGUCACAAUAUGACAACUGAGCAUUUAAAUGUGGCUAGUGAGUCCGAGGAAGAGAGUUUUUAAGUAUAUAGAAUUUCAGUUUAAACUGUAUUGAACAGCACAAAUUAGAACUACAGGAACCCUAGGCAGCGUAAGGAGGUUUUAUCAAUAUUUAGGUAUCUAAGGCUUCUCCUAGGCUGUAAGGCCUUGUACUCUAGAUACUCAACUUCCAACCACCUCUUGUCAGCCAAGAAAACUCUGAAGCUCUGAAAAGAUAUAUGACUGUUCCAGGUUGACACAGCUGGUUACUAGACCCUAGAUCAUCAGUCAGGGAUUAAAUAUUUUUAUGGCAGCAGUCAUGCCAUUAGAAAUGCUUAACAGGCAGCUGGAGAUAAAUAGCUGUUUGUCAAGGACUGAGAUCAGUGCUGGGGAGUCAGUGCAUGGGUGUGAAAAUGUGGCCGUGAAAAUGGAUACAACAUACAAAGAAAAGAAAAUGGGGCUCCACGUCAAGCCUUGAUAAAUACUGACAUGUAAAUGGAAGGAAAAUAAAAACAAAGCAUAAAAGGAAAUAGAUUUUCAUCUGCCAAUUUUAUACCAACAAUUAGAUAGCCCCAGAUCGCCACCUCCUCAACAUGCUCACAAUUCAUCUCAGACAGGUGGGCACAGUUAAAGAGCGAGAGCCCUUGCUGCCCGCCUCCCCACCACGAGAGAGCUGGCUGCCCACAGCAAGGCACUUAACCUCUCUGUGGUUCCAUCUCCUCCUUUGUCAAAUGGGGUUGAUGACAAGACUUCCGUCAGAAUGCUUUUGAGAUAAAGUGAGAUGCAUGUACAGUACCAGCAAAGCCCUGGCGCAUAAUACAGAUUCUUUAAAUUUUAGAUUGAAAAAAAACUUGUCUCGUCCCCAAUCUUAUUCCUCUUCCCGUGUCCCUGACCUAGGCCAAGAGCCUUGCCCUUCAGCUAGUUGUUCUCUCUGGAAAUCUGAGUCAUCUUUGAUUCCUUCUUCUCCCUUAAUCACCACAUCCAGUAAUUCACCAAGUGUUAUUGAUUCUAGCUGCUCCGUCUUUCAGAUACAGCCACCUCUCUGUAUGCCCUCCACUACAGCUCUCACACACGUCUUCUGCACUUUCUGAAAAAAGCAUCCCUGUUUCCAAUAUGUUUGCUAUACCCAUCCAUUCUCUACACCAGGAUGGGAUUUCUACACCAUAGGAUCUCCAGAGUGGGAUUUUGAAACCUUGAGGUGUCCAGGGGAAGAUUUUAACCCCAAGUCAUUUUGCAGCCUUCCCCAGCAGUUUCUUUUUGCAGACAGGAUUAAGUUGACAUUCCUCAGCAUGGCACUCAAGACCAUUCACAGCCCGCCUGCAAACUACCUCUGUUUACAUAUUUCACCUUUUACUUUGAACCAAGAAUACAUAAAUAGGAACCCAUGCAUUUUAAAAGUUCAAAUGAAUAAUAGUCUUGUGACUCAGUGUGGACCUGGGAGGAAGAAGCAGGGUUUGUUUUUGUUUUUCAGAUUGACGUCUAGGGGAAAAUGUAAAAUUCGCUGUCAAACCUUGCAGAGAGAUUCCUUACCAGCACCUCCUGUUAUUAGGUACUAUUCCAACCCAGCCUUGUGAUUUUCUUCUCUCAUUUUUCAUGGUAGGGAGGUUCCUUUUUCAGUGCCUACAGCUUCAAGCCUGCCUCCUGGAACACACGCUGCGUGUAAUGUGGAUCGUUCCUAGUCUAUGUGAGAAUGAAGUGAAGAGCCCCAUAAAAUAAAGGAUCCCAUUGAAUUGGUUA
Molecule: long non-coding RNA, 9795 nt
Organism: Camelus dromedarius (Arabian camel)
Lineage: Eukaryota; Metazoa; Chordata; Mammalia; Artiodactyla; Camelidae
Exons: 2
Source: RefSeq, a predicted model, not a curated record